Cucurbita maxima (winter squash) is the source of this 936-nucleotide long non-coding RNA. RefSeq lists it as uncharacterized. The record is from RefSeq and is a predicted model, not a curated record. The transcript is spliced from 2 exons. Lineage: Eukaryota; Viridiplantae; Streptophyta; Magnoliopsida; Cucurbitales; Cucurbitaceae.
UUCACUUGCGACAACGGAAUGUGUCCACACACCUCUCUCUAUCUUCUUUACCUGUAUCCCAAUACAGUCCCGUUUCCCAUUCUUACCCUUUGAUUUCUCCCCAAAUUCCGAAACUGCCAUUCCUUUGUCUUGAGCUUCAGUCCUUUCCCGUCUCUUUGAUCGUGCCAACACACGGCUACGUUUUGGUAUCUAGAAGACACUGAUCGCGCCGAUUCACAAAACUUGCAGCCUACCUGUUUGCGAUAAUGCCUCAAUGGGCUGCAACAUUCUGGCAAUUUAAGAAGCUGCUACCCAUGUUGGUGCCUGCGUUCAUCGUCUGUCAGAAUUUAUGCGCCUAGAUUUCUUGAGGUGAUUAUAUUCUGACUCAUCAGCUUUAGAUUUCCUUAUCCGAUCCCAUAUAUUUCAGAUGUAUAUCAUUUACAACCACAAAAGUAAAAGGGUCUGUGAUGGAAUCUUAUCAUGCGGCUAUAACUCACUUGAUCAAAGGCUAGGAAUUGGUUGUGUAGGACCUACAUUAGCCUCCCAAUCUCAUCAGAUGUAGUUGACAAAGGGCAUCAAAAGCCAUAAAUACAGAGCAUAUAUCAGCAACCCACGAGAAUCCGAUGCAGAAACAAUGUUGAAGAUGACUUCCAACCGCCUAAUAAAUGCAACUUUUAAGCAUUCAUUAAUCAAACUUUACGACCAAAACAAGCUUACCUCCUCCUCAUUAUUACCGCUCAUUGCAUAUUCUCUUGCUUUUAGUUUUGUCUGUUUGUUAGGAAUGUUUGAAGGCUAUUCUCAAGAACAGAUUUUGGCAUCCAAAUAUGUUGUUUUGUAAUGUGAAGUGGAGGGUUUUGUUGGGGAUUUGAUGGGGAUAUGAACAUAUCUUAAAUCCUGCCUUUGGAGACCAUUUACUAUCUUUUUUCUUCUUUUAAUAAUAUUUCUAGAUACUUGAAA